Molecule: ribosomal RNA, 652 nt
Filed under: Austrohelcon sp. RDB-1
Lineage: Eukaryota; Metazoa; Arthropoda; Insecta; Hymenoptera; Braconidae
Description: eukaryotic LSU rRNA
Rfam family: Eukaryotic large subunit ribosomal RNA
Source: RNAcentral
CCUGAGAAACCCAAAAGAUCGAAUGGGGAGAUUCAGCGUCAGCGCAUUUGGUAUAUGUGCAAGUUGCGAUGUAAGUUAUCCUUGUGAUAUUAUUUGCACGUGCUUGUGUCAUUUAAUUGCCGGAUGUCGUCGGCGUGCACUUCUCCCCUAGUAGGACGUCGCGACCCGUUGGGUGUCGGUCUACGGCCCGAAUGGUAGUCUUUAAUGUCGCCGCGAGGUGUUAUAUUGAAGACCAUCGGUGUUUCCUGACCGGCUGCCCGGCGGUAUUCGCACGGUAUUGAGCCGCAAUUUUUGCGUCGGACCCGCCGCAAGCGAGGCCAGUGUCUAACCCGGUAGUACGGACCUAGUGCCGUCGCUGGGCCUGGCCAGCUGUUGGUUGUUGCGGUGUUCUUUGACUGGCUCAUUAUGAUAAUAUAUAAUUACCGGUCGGCGACGCUACUGCUUUGGGUACUUUCAGGACCCGUCUUGAAACACGGACCAAGGAGUCUAACAUGUGCGCGAGUCAUUGGGAUUUAUUUUUUUAAAACAAACCUAAAGGCGUAAUGAAAGUGAAGGUCGUCCUUGCGUCGACCGAGGGAGGAUGAGUCGCGUUACGAUGCGGCUCCGCACUCCCGGGGCGUCUCGUUCACAUUAUGCGAAGAGGCGCACCCAG